AGCAGCCGCGGUAAUUCCAGCUCCAAUAGCGUAUAUUAAAGUUGCUGCAGUUAAAAAGCUCGUAGUUGAAUUUCGGGACCAAAUAUGUCGGUCGUGCUUCGGUACGUACUGUCAUUAUUGGUUUCUCCCUUCUGAAGAACCUUGAUGUCAUUAAUUUGGUGCCUUGGGGAAUCAGGACUGUUACUUUGAAAAAAUUAGAGUGUUUAAAGCAGGCUCGCGCUUGAAUACAUUAGCAUGGAAUAAUGAAAUAGGACGUUUGAUUCUAUUUUGUUGGUUUCUAGGAUCGACGUAAUGAUUAAUAGGGAUAGUUGGGGGCAUUAGUAUUCAAUUGUCAGAGGUGAAAUUCUUGGAUUUAUUGAAGACUAACUACUGCGAAAGCAUUUGCCAAGGAUGUUUUCAUUAAUCAAGAACGAAAGUUAGGGGAUCGAAGACGAUCAGAUACCGUCGUAGUCUUAACCNUAAACUAUGCCGACUAGGGAUCGGAUGAUGUAAUUUUUAAUGUACUCAUUCGGCGCCUUAA
This 520-nucleotide ribosomal RNA is filed under the name uncultured Glomus. RNAcentral's name for it is "SSU rRNA". It matches the Rfam family "Eukaryotic small subunit ribosomal RNA", at positions 569 to 1091 of the family's 1831-position model. The record is from RNAcentral. Lineage: Eukaryota; Fungi; Glomeromycota; Glomeromycetes; Glomerales; Glomeraceae.